AUGAGUAUCGGGUUGUUUCCAAUAUUUUGCUCUUACAACAGUGCUGUAACGAAUAACAUUUUACACCUAUCAUUUUGUGCAGAUGCAUAUAUAUCACAUAUAUUGCAAAUGACAUAUACCUUAUAUGUGCAGGAUAAAGCCCUACAAGUGACACUGCUGAGUCAAAACACAAGGAUAUUCACCAUUUUGCUACAUAGUUGUGAUUUUGCUGUGCAUGAUUUUACUGAAGACUUCAUCCUAAAUAUUUGUACGAAGAAGGAAGCAGUGUCUGAAAGCCGAGAUGCCAGCAGCAUGAAUAAGGAGUGUAUCAAGGACGUGAAAUUAAAGUCUGUAUUUCUAAACAGGGCUCCCUUUUCCGUGGCGUUCUUUCUGCGAGGGGUUGCCUUGGCUGCUUCCAAGCGUUGUACUUGAUCUUCUUUAAUUUACAGAAUAAAAGAUUCAUGAGUUUUAAAGAAAGACGUCA
RNAcentral lists this long non-coding RNA (463 nucleotides) under Felis catus (domestic cat). RNAcentral describes it as "lncRNA (ENSFCAG00000051927.1)". Lineage: Eukaryota; Metazoa; Chordata; Mammalia; Carnivora; Felidae. The record is from RNAcentral.